Molecule: ribosomal RNA, 449 nt
Filed under: uncultured bacterium
Lineage: Bacteria
Description: partial 16S ribosomal RNA
Rfam family: Bacterial small subunit ribosomal RNA
Source: RNAcentral
AACGAACGCUGGCGGCAGGCUUAACACAUGCAAGUCGAACGAGAUCUUCGGAUCUAGUGGCAGACGGGUGAGGAACACGUGGGAACGUCCCUUUCAGUUCGGAAUAACGUUGGGAAACUAACGCUAAUACCGGAUACGUCCUUCGGGAGAAAGAUUUAUCGCUGAAAGAUUGGCCCGCGUCUGAUUAGCUAGUUGGUGAGGUAACGGCUCACCAAGGCUACGAUCAGUAGCUGAUCUGAGAGGAUGAUCAGCCACAUUGGGACUGAGACACGGCCCAACCUCCUACGGGAGGCAGCAGUGGGGAAUAUUGGACAAUGGGCGCAAGCCUGAUCCAGCCAUGCCGCGUGAGUGAUGACGGCCUUCGGGUUGUAAAGCUCUUUUGUCCGGGAAGAUAAUGACUGUACCGGAAGAAUAAGCCCCGGCAAACUUCGUGCCAGCAGCCGCCGUAA